CCGGCACGGGUGAGUAACACGUAUCCAACCUGCCGUCUACUCUUGGACAGCCUUCUGAAGGAAGAUUAAUACAAGAUGGCAUCAUGAGUCCGCAUGUUCACAUGAUUAAAGGUAUUCCGGUAGACGACGGGGAUGCGUCCCAUUAGAUAGUAGGCGGGGUAACGGCCCACCUAGUCUUCGAUGGAUAGGGGUUCUGAGAGGAAGGUCCCCCACAUUGGAACUGAGACACGGUCCAA
RNAcentral lists this ribosomal RNA (236 nucleotides) under uncultured bacterium. Its description in RNAcentral is "partial 16S ribosomal RNA". It matches the Rfam family "Bacterial small subunit ribosomal RNA", at positions 100 to 334 of the family's 1533-position model. The record is from RNAcentral.